Molecule: ribosomal RNA, 533 nt
Filed under: uncultured bacterium
Lineage: Bacteria
Description: bacterial SSU rRNA
Rfam family: Bacterial small subunit ribosomal RNA
Source: RNAcentral
UAGAGUUUGAUCCUGGCUCAGGACGAACGCUGGCGGCGUGCGUAACACAUGCAAGUCGAACGGUGUCUUUGACUUCGGUUGAGGGCGCAGUGGCGGACGGGUGAGUAACACGUGGAUAACCUGCCCUGGUGUGGGGGAUAGCCUUCAGAAAUGAGGGAUAAUACCGCAUACGGCGGCUGGGGAGUGGCGACACUCUCCGCCGGGAAAGCUUUUCAGAGCGCAAGGUCUGGGAGGCGCGCGAGGAGGGGUCCGCGGCCGAUUAGCUAGUUGGGGGGGUAAGAGCUUCCCAAGGCGACGAUCGGUAGCUGGUCUGAGAGGAUGGUCAGCCACACUGGGAUUGAGAACGGCCCAGACUCCUACGGGGGGCAGCAGUGAGGGAUCUUCGGCAAUGGGGGCAACCCUGACCGAGCAACGCCGCGUGCGGGACGACGCUUUUCGGAGUGUAAACCGCUUUUCUGGGGGACGAGGACUAGUACGGACGGUACCCCAGGAAGAAGUCUCGGCUAACUACGUGCCAGCAGCCGCGGUAAUCG